Molecule: ribosomal RNA, 654 nt
Filed under: uncultured bacterium
Lineage: Bacteria
Description: bacterial SSU rRNA
Rfam family: Bacterial small subunit ribosomal RNA
Source: RNAcentral
GGGAUAGCAGCUGGAAACGGCUGGUAAUACCGCAUAAGCGCACAGUACCACAUGGUACAGUGUGAAAAACUCCGGUGGUAUGAGAUGGACCCGCGUCUGAUUAGCUUGUUGGCGGGGUAACGGCCCACCAAGGCAACGAUCAGUAGCCGACCUGAGAGGGUGACCGGCCACAUUGGGACUGAGACACGGCCCAGACUCCUACGGGAGGCAGCAGUGGGGAAUAUUGCACAAUGGAGGAAACUCUGAUGCAGCGACGCCGCGUGAGUGAAGAAGUAGUUCGCUAUGUAAAGCUCUAUCAGCAGGGAAGAUAGUGACGGCACCUGACUAAGAAGCUCCGGCUAAAUACGUGCCAGCAGCCGCGGUAAUACGUAUGGAGCAAGCGUUAUCCGGAUUUACUGGGUGUAAAGGGAGUGUAGGUGGCCAGGCAAGUCAGAAGUGAAAGCCCGGGGCUCAACCCCGGGACUGCUUUUGAAACUGCAGGGCUAGAGUGCAGGAGGGGCAAGUGGAAUUCCUAGUGUAGCGGUGAAAUGCGUAGAUAUUAGGAGGAACACCAGUGGCGAAGGCGGCUUGCUGGACUGUAACUGACACUGAGGCUCGAAAGCGUGGGGAGCAAACAGGAUUAGAUACCCUGGUAGUCCACGCCGUAAACGAUGA